CUAGGUAGGGGAUCGGGACUCUGGCGGGAGGGUGGCUCGGCGCGUUUGCGGGGACGGGCGGCCGCGGCGGGCCCUCCGAGCGUGGUGGGGCCGCUCUGUGGGGCAGCCGGAUUGUUCCUUGAGGACAGACAGGACAGUGCUUGUUUAAGGCUAUAUUUCUGCUGUCUGAGCAGCAACAGGUCUUCGAGAUCAACAUGGUUUUCAUAAUCCCAAGAUGUUGCCUUUUAUGUUCUCAGAAGCAAGCAGAAGCACAAUGGAGGGUCUCUUCCUUCAUCUUGAUCUGAAGGAUGAACAAAGGCUUGAGCAGUGCGCUUUAGAAGAUAAACUGCAGCAUGAAGGCCCCCGAUGUUCACCCAGACUGUAUGGACCUUUUGCCACACAUGUCCCAUUCCAGAUAAGGCCUGGCACACACAAAA
Molecule: long non-coding RNA, 416 nt
Filed under: Mus pahari (shrew mouse)
Lineage: Eukaryota; Metazoa; Chordata; Mammalia; Rodentia; Muridae
Description: lncRNA (MGP_PahariEiJ_G0002986.1)
Source: RNAcentral